UAUUGUUUUGAUAACAUUUGUGAUUUUAGGAAUCAAAAUAUAAUUUUAUGUUCGUCAUGUUCAAAUAUUAAUUUAUUUUAGGUUAGGAAUAUAAUUUUUUAAUAUUCAAAAUAUAUAAAAUAUUUAACAUAAGAAUACAUUUUAUAUUUUACGAUAUUUCUAAUGAUGCUUUACCUUUAAUCUUAAAUUUAAUUUUGCAAUAAUAUGUAUUUGGAUCAAUAUUUUUAAUAAGAAUCGGAGAAACUGCUAUAAUAUUAAUCAUUAAAAUCAUAACUAAAUAUAAGAUAAACAUAAUUAUGAUACUAUUAUCAGUAGAAUUUGUUUAAUAUCUAUUGUUAAUAUGAUAAUAUCUAUUUAUUAAUAAAAUAUACUAAAUAUCAUGAUAGUAUAUAUAUUAAAAUACUGUUUAGAAAAUAAUAGUAUAUGCAUAUUGGUAGAAUUAGUUAAUAUUUGUUUAUUAAUUAUCUUAAAUUUCAUGAUAAAUAUAUACAUAUAUAAAUAAAAUAUUAAAUAAUAUUAAUUAAACUAAUGACUUAUCCUAAAAUUAUGGAGAAGAUGACAAAUCAACAAAUUUACUUCUAAAAUUUUACUAUAGAUAAGGAUUAUUAUUCUAAUAUUCCCACUUGAUUUUGCUUGCUUUUUUAAAGGCUUCUUAUUUUAAUCAAUGUUUAGAAUAAUAUUGCAAGUAAUCUUCAGUUAUUAAAUUAGUAUUAGUAUACUUCUUAAAACCAUAUACAUAAAUAUAUUACCUAUAGAAGAUGUUGAGAUCUAAUCAUAGUUAUUUGCAUAUUAAGUUUUUAAUUUGUACAUGUUGAUGAUUUACCUUUUGGUUCAACUUCUCUUGUUAUCCACAUUGAAGUUUUUUAAAAAAAAUUUCCUCUUAUUUGUUUUUGCCUUAACUUCAUUUGUUAUUGCCUUAACUUCAAAUUCAAAACCCUGGUGGACUUUACCAUAUAUAUAAUUUUCAAGGUAAGUUUAUAAUUUUACAGUUACAAAUAAGUAUAAUUUUAUCUUUACACAUUUUACCAAACUUAUUCAUUGAAUGUCUCUGUUACCAAAUCUCAACCCAUUAAAUAAUUUCCUAUUUUGGUAUUUGACAAAAAUAAUCAUGUAUUAGAGAUUUGACUAUUCCAUUUGUUAUAUAUACGCAUGUUCCCCUUUUAAUUAUUUUUAGACCAAGCAAAACAAACUUUAAUUAUCAAAAUAUUAUUCAAGCGAUGGCUUUGUCAAAGUCCCAACUUGCAACACUUCUCAUCUUAUGUUCUUUGCUAUUUGUUUCCCAAUCAAAAAUAUUGAAGAUAGAAGGAAAAGGCAACCCUCCUGACGAAUGUAAAUUUAGAGGUGGGUGCAAUACUAGCGAAGAGUGUAAAAUUCCAUGCGGACCGCCUCGUUUCCCACUGGGAACUAUUGGUUUAUGUGUGCGAGAUCCUUUUGCUCACUCUGCCGUACAUCUUUGUUGUUGUGCGCCUAAAAAUUCAUCAUAAUGAAUGUUGGUCGAAUAUCUAUAUUAUUUAUGAAUUUAAUGAGAUAAUAAGAAUAUUUUGGUUUUUACA
Long non-coding RNA from Brassica napus (rape), 1553 nucleotides. RefSeq lists it as uncharacterized. Lineage: Eukaryota; Viridiplantae; Streptophyta; Magnoliopsida; Brassicales; Brassicaceae. The transcript is spliced from 2 exons. The record is from RefSeq and is a predicted model, not a curated record.